This 186-nucleotide non-coding RNA is filed under the name Lachnospiraceae bacterium. RNAcentral's name for it is "6S RNA". It matches the Rfam family "6S / SsrS RNA". Rfam says of the family: E. coli 6S RNA was the first non coding RNA to be sequenced, but its function was unknown until recently. It consists of 184 nucleotides that fold into an extended hairpin structure with a large single-stranded internal bulge. The 6S RNA specifically associates with RNA polymerase holoenzyme containing the sigma70 specificity factor. The record is from RNAcentral. Lineage: Bacteria; Bacillati; Bacillota; Clostridia; Lachnospirales; Lachnospiraceae.
UUGUUCCUGGAAUGUGCGAUCCCCCUAUUUUUCCUGAACCUACAUUUGAAUUAAAGGGAUUCCUAUAUCGUCGGUCUCAAUGUCAGGCCAUAUCUACGGAUCAGUGGAAGACAGCGAAUCGAGUGCGGUUACCCACCUGGCAUCGGCUAGGCGUCAGUUUCAUAGGAACGGCAUUCCGGGAAUAUA